RNAcentral lists this long non-coding RNA (1092 nucleotides) under Equus caballus (horse). RNAcentral's name for it is "lncRNA (ENSECAG00000045418.1)". Lineage: Eukaryota; Metazoa; Chordata; Mammalia; Perissodactyla; Equidae. The record is from RNAcentral.
CGCUGAUCCACUUUCUACCAGUCCAGGCCUGCUCCCGGGCCCUCCCCAGGCCCAGCACCCUGACCACAGGUCACCCAGCCUCAGCUUGGACACUGCCCGCAUCAGGGAGCUCAUUGCUUCCCAGGCAUGUGCUGUCAGAGGUUCUGAAUGCCAGCAGGUUCUUUCUUACCCUGAGCCAAAGGUUGGCCUCCCGCUGCCACCUCUGCUCCAUAUUCCCCCUCCAGGGCCGGGCCGUACCCACCUUCCCAGCACCUCUUCUGCCAACCCUUCACCUGCGAGGACCGAUGCGGGUCACCAGCUCUUGCACAAGACUCCCAGACUGCCCCCAGGUGCCUGCUCCCUGGACCCUUUUGUCGACAUCACCAUAAAAGACGCAUACAGCUAAACCUGGGCCUCACCCUGCAGGAAGGUCUGGUCGGGAGAAGAGGCAGAGACCCCACCGUCUCCCUGUGUCAACACUGCCCUUCCGGCUUAGAGACGGUCUUUUUCUCUCUUAUGAUGGGUGAAGGACAUACCUUCUCAACCCACUGCGCCGACUGGGCAACUAAGGCACAGACAAAGGAGGACUGGAACUCAGGUUGCACAGUGCCAGACAGCAAGUGGAAGGCCAAGGUGAGAAUGAGGUCCUCAGAGCGGGGGAGAUGCCCAUGGUGGGCGGGUCCAUCUGCAGUUCAGCUCCUGUGAGCCCCCGGCACAGAGUCAAACCAUCCCCCCUCUGCAUCUUCCUCUGGAGUACCUCUGCCCAGGCUGUGCCCAGCCCACCGCCCUCCCUGUGGGCCCAGCUCACACGGCCCUCCUCGCUGGCCUCUCCUGCCCCUGCCUGCCCGAGGCCAUUACGCGCUCCUCUGAACUCCUCUGCAAUUAUAAUUUCAAUAAUUCAUUUGGCAAUUAAUCAUAUCUAGCCUUGUGACAUCUCUUCUAUUCCAUGUUGAACUGUUAUUUAGAAGCGCAAUUGUUUAACUUCCCAUGAGCAGCAUAUGCUGCCUCGCUAAUCUAGUCGGGGUUUUUGUUGUUUAUUUCCUGGCCGUCAAUCAAGCCAGGAGAUGCUCGAGGCCCACACUGGGGGGUGGGGGCCGGAUGGAGGGUGAGCGG